GGAGGGGUGCCGGAGUGGUUGAUCGGGGCGGUCUCGAAAACCGUUGUGGGGCUUGCCUCACCGUGGGUUCGAAUCCCACCUCCUCCG
RNAcentral lists this transfer RNA (87 nucleotides) under Chloroflexota bacterium. Its description in RNAcentral is "Chloroflexi bacterium (anaerobic digester metagenome) tRNA-Ser". It matches the Rfam family "tRNA". From Rfam's summary of the family: Transfer RNA (tRNA) molecules are approximately 80 nucleotides in length. Their secondary structure includes four short double-helical elements and three loops (D, anti-codon, and T loops). Further hydrogen bonds mediate the characteristic L-shaped molecular structure. tRNAs have two regions of fundamental functional importance: the anti-codon, which is responsible for specific mRNA codon recognition, and the 3' end, to which the tRNAs corresponding amino acid is attached (by aminoacyl-tRNA synthetases). tRNAs cope with the degeneracy of the genetic code in two manners: having more than one tRNA (with a specific anti-codon) for a particular amino acid; and 'wobble' base-pairing, i.e. permitting non-standard base-pairing at the 3rd anti-codon position. The record is from RNAcentral. RNAcentral also lists the same sequence under 1 other name. Lineage: Bacteria; Bacillati; Chloroflexota.